GCUUGCAACCUAGCUCACACCUGACCAAUCAGGUAGUAAAGAGAGCUCACUAAAGUGCUAAUUAGGCAAAAACAGGAGGUAAAGAAAUAGCCAAUCAUCUAUCGCCUGAGAGCACAGCGAGACACAAUGCUGGGAGGUAAACUCAGGCAUUCGAGCCCGCAACAGCUACCCUCUUUGGCUCCCCUCCCUUUGUAUGGGAGCUCUGUUUUCACUCUAAAAUCUCUUCUGGUCUGUGUUUGUUACCGCUGAGCUUUCCCUCGCCUACCACCACUGCUGUUUGCUGCUGUGGCAGACCCGCCACUGACUUCCAACCUUCCGGAUGCCGCAGCGUUUCCGAUGUGCUCCUGAUCCAGCGAGGCGCCCGUUGCCGCUCCCCACAGGGCUAGAGGCGUGCCGUUGUUCCUGCACAGCUAAGUGCCCGGGUUCGUCCUAGUCGAGCUGAACGCUAGUCACUGGGUUCCACCGUUCUCUUCCACGACCCACUACUUCUAAUAGAGCUAUAACACUCACUGCAUGGCCCAAGAUUCCAUUCCUUGGAAUCCCUGAGGCGAAGAACCCCAGGUCAGAGGACAGGAAGCUUGCCACCAUCUUGGAAGCGGCCCACAGCCAUUUUGGAAGCGCCCGCCACCACUUGGGAGCUCUGGACCCCCGGUAACAAUAAGAAAUGAAAGAAUGCCAUUGUUUAUGAUGCCAGAUGAUCUGAAAACUAUGCAAAGCUUCAUUCAUCCUUCACAAAAGCCAAACCACCAGAAUAAUGACUGGCAAGAAGCAUGGUUUUAAUAAUCCAGAACAUCAGUGUAAAUGGAGACAGGAGGAAGAAAUUGGAUUGAUUCUCCACUUGAGAAUUACGUUAACUUGGAAGAAAAUGUUAGUCUACUAAGCGAAGGCAUCUGGUAAGAGGGAAGAUAUCACCUCCCUUCCCCCAUUGUGGCCCUUUAUGCACCUCUGACCCUUGUUCUCUCCUUUUUUUGUUGCUUCUGUGGUCUGGUUGUUAGCUUUCCGGAUCCUCCACACAUUAGAAACCUAAGCAUAAUGAUUUCUGAUCUAAGGCUAUGGAAUAUUUGAAAUAAGAAAAGGGGAAAUUGUUGAGUCUAGAACCAAACCUUUUGAAAUAAAGAACUACCGGUCUGUAAUGUGUGCCUUUAGAAAAAAACAAAGUCAAACAGAAAUUAGAUAACUAGUUACAGUCGUGAUUGUGCUCUGCCACCUUGGAACUCCCGUAUGUGACUAUUUCCACUCUGGCUUUGUGUUUCAGUAGGUCAGGGACAUACAUUAAGAGCAACAAUUGGAACUGCGUUCUCCUUUACCUCCAUAAAAACACAGCUUAAUAACGUGUUAAUGACUUAAAAUUACCUUGUCUUUCUAGAUUGCUUAUUGAUGUCAUUUCAGAUCGGUAUAAAGGAUGUGAAGCGAAUGAGAAAAUAGGAACGUUUCUUUUUCUUUUUUCCCCCUUUCUACCGACUAGGAAGAGAUCCAGUCCAGGUUUU
RNAcentral lists this long non-coding RNA (1487 nucleotides) under Macaca mulatta (Rhesus monkey). Its description in RNAcentral is "lncRNA (ENSMMUG00000062954.1)". Lineage: Eukaryota; Metazoa; Chordata; Mammalia; Primates; Cercopithecidae. The record is from RNAcentral.